This 205-nucleotide long non-coding RNA is filed under the name Actinidia chinensis (golden kiwifruit). RNAcentral describes it as "long non-coding RNA (ACHI_LNC000031)". The record is from RNAcentral. Lineage: Eukaryota; Viridiplantae; Streptophyta; Magnoliopsida; Ericales; Actinidiaceae.
UUGGGGACUUUACUUUAGCUAAAAAUAAAUAAAAAAAAACAAAAAAAAUUAAUUUUAAUUAAUUUUUUUAUUUAUAAACUUAAAAAAAUUCAACCGAAAAACUGAUAUUGAAUCUCUAGAGUCCAAAAACUAGACUGCGGAUGAGUUGUGUCAUUUCCAUUUUUCGGUGGCUGUCUUUUCUAGUCGCACCACAGACAGGUUGUUU